RNAcentral lists this microRNA (19 nucleotides) under Caenorhabditis elegans. The record is from RNAcentral. Lineage: Eukaryota; Metazoa; Nematoda; Chromadorea; Rhabditida; Rhabditidae.
AGUUGGUGAUCGUACAUUU